Molecule: long non-coding RNA, 2603 nt
Organism: Gallus gallus (chicken)
Lineage: Eukaryota; Metazoa; Chordata; Aves; Galliformes; Phasianidae
Exons: 2
Source: RefSeq, a predicted model, not a curated record
GUUCAAGACCUUACACUUGGAUUUGUUGAACCUCAUGAUGUUCACCUGAGCCUACUGCUCACAUCUGUCUAUGUUUCUCUGGAUGGCAUCCCAUCCCUCAGGUGUGUCAACCACACCACACAGCUUGGAGUUAUCCACCCAAGACUCUGCAAGUCUUGGCACAUAAUCCUGCUCCUCCCCUGCACACACCAUGUUUCCACUCAUAGGUUGAUAAAGGAAGCACUGCACAUCUUCUACUGAGCCACCAAGGAUGUGUCUGUAGCCCAGUGAAGACUUCUGGUGUGGGACAUUAAUGAUUUAUUCAUGGUCCUAUGUGCGUUUUCAAAUCAGGCAGCGCUUUCUAACAGAUGUGAUGGCAUGGCUAUUUCUUGUGUGCUCAUCUCCAAGGGAGGAAUCUCUGCUGCUCUUACGCUAUGCAAUCCAAGUAUGCUCCACAGUACUUCACUCCUUUCAAAUAGUGCUCUGCAGAGUGUCUUCUUCUUUGCUGUUUUUGGUCAGGGUAUGCUACAGUAAGUAGAAGUGAUUGGAUUUGCUGCCCCUGAUUACAUUCCUGCUAGCAUAAUUAAUUGUCACUUAGAAUAUGAUUUGCUGUUAGAAACAUAGUUUACUUGGAUUAAAACACCACUGAAUAAACAAGGCUAGAGAAAAGAAAAAUAGCUGCUGAAAAGACACCAUCUGCAUACAUUGGUUCAUAUCUUCUAAUUAGCCAUCAAAGAAACAGAAAUACUGAAAAGUUUCUUAAGGGCUGAGAGAAGUCCCACAGCAAUCUAUUGACUGUUUUAGAAUUAGUUUGCAUGUAACUAGUGGUCUUAAGUAUGACAAGCAUACAGUUAUUGACUGGAGAGUACCUGUACACUUCCCAUACAAUCUUUUGUAUGGCCUCCUCAUCCUCGUAACCCAAGUGAAUGCUGGUACGGUGCUGCCUGGAUAUGAUCAGCCAAAUGUCUAGCUGAAGCCAUGGUUCUUGAGAUCUCUACUACAUGUUCCAUAAAAUUGGAAAGAAUGGAGAAAUUGAAAUCUUGUCCCUUUUGGCACCUGUCUGUUCCAGAGUACAUGGGCGUUGAGGUGAAAGUUCACUGAUGCUCUGCUGUAGCUGUGAAUUCAAGAAAGCUAUUGUUCCCAUUGCUGAUUUGAAGGAUAAGUUCUUAUUCAAGAGCUUUUAGCAUUCAUGUUUCUAUUAUGCUCGAGUGGAAUAUUAAAAUGUCCAUUUUCUAAUGGCUGCAGAAAUAUCCUAGAACAGCUAGACAAAGCUACCGUGUCUAUGAACAGAUAACUAAGCUAAGAACAAACUUCUACAUUACACAUCAAAUGAGAGUUUAAAAUACUUUGUGCUCUUAGUUAGACUGAAAGAGAGAAAGAAUGUAUCACUGUAAAACUACCUAUUUAGCUCUUAACAGUCCUCACCCUGAAUCUUUCUGCCUUCCUUACAACAAGAAAAGUAAUUUGGUUUGGAAUAGUUCACAGGGGUUGCGUUCAAGGAAAGUUGCCUGGGUAAUGGAAAUAAGUAAUGGAAGUAGCCUCCCAAGCCUUUAUUUAUUUAUUUUAGGCUACUUGACCUGAUGCCUUUUGCUUUUUUUUUUCUUUCUUUCUUUUUUGGUUGAUAAAUGUCAUCAACAACUUUCUUGAGAACAGUACUCUUGAAAGUAACAACUCUGGCUGAAACUCAGAAGCAGCAUCAGGGAGUUGCAUAAGAGUUAAAAGCUGCAGCAUUUGACAGUGGGCCACAAAUUGUGACAGGUUUGUUCCUGAAAAGAGCAGAAAUUGUACCUCUAGAGAAGAAAGCCAGAAGGCUUGGCAGGACUUCACUCUCUGAGACUCUGUUCUUGCUCUGAUUCCCAGGUAGGGAAGUCACAGGCUUGUGCUGAAAUGUUUUUCACUAGCUUUCACCCCAGCCCAGAAAUGAAACCUGCUUAUUCCCCUGGUGAGGAACCAGCAACUCCCAAUGGCCUGGGCAUUUAAGGAGCAUGACAUCCAGAUCUGGAAGUAAACAUCACAGUCUUGGCUCUUCUCAAACUCAAGAACUGUUUACCUGAAUCCUGUUUACCUAAUACCUGUCACAGGAGAGAGCCCCUAUCCAGGAAGAUGUUAAAUGAUGCACUUAAGAUAACUGAGCACCUAACUGGUUGCUGAGAGGUGAUGAGGAUCCUUCUGAAACGUCACUCUGCUGUAGGGUACCAGGAUGCAAUGCUGUUUGCAAUGCACUUCAGAGAAACCAGCUAAUUAACACGUCCAUCACCAGCACAGCAGACCCAUCUCCUUGACAUCUCCAUGAAACCAGCUGGGAUCCAUUGGACAGCCUCUGGCUUGUUCCCAGAUGAGCUGGAGCAAACUCCUGAGAUUGCUUGUAACCAGAUCCAAAGCAAAGUCACACAGUCCAACUGAACAGCCCAGGGAAGGGUUCACCUACAGAGCUGCAUGGUCCAUACCUGGCCUUGGUACGUUACAUAUAACCAACUGGGUAGCUUGUUUUAAUUUGUCAACGUACAAACAGUGCUAUCUUCAACAUCUUUGCUCACAGAAUUAAAUUCUAUGCACAUGGCAGCUUGUGCUACAUGCUCCUGUGGUAAAUAAACACAAGUUGUCUCUGUAACUUCUGAAUUAAA